RNAcentral lists this ribosomal RNA (526 nucleotides) under uncultured Lachnospiraceae bacterium. Its description in RNAcentral is "partial 16S ribosomal RNA". The record is from RNAcentral. Lineage: Bacteria; Bacillati; Bacillota; Clostridia; Lachnospirales; Lachnospiraceae.
CACGUAGUUAGCCGGGGCUUCUUGGUCAGGUACUGUCAUUUUCUUCCCUGCUGAUAGAGCUUUACAUACCGAAAUACUUCUUCACCCACGCGGCGUCGCUGCAUCAGGGUUUCCCCCAUUGUGCAAUAUCCCCCACUGCUGCCUCCCGUAGGAGUUUGGGCCGUGUCUCAGUCCCAAUGUGGCCGUCCGCCCUCUCAGGCCGGCUACGGAUCGUCGCUUUGGUAGGCCGUUACCCUGCCAACUGGCUAAUCAGACGCGGGUCCAUCAUAUACCACCGGAGUUUUUCACACCGGGGCAUGCGCCCCUGUGCGCUUAUGCGGUAUUAGCACCUAUUUCUAAGUGUUAUCCCCCUGUAUAUGGCAGGUUACCCACGCGUUACUCACCCGUCCGCCACUAGGGCGUGAAAAGUUUGAAGUCUAGUAAACUAUCCCUCUCGCACAUCACGCCCCGUUCGACUUGCAUGUGUUAAGCACGCCGCCACGACGGUUCUACUCCUCGUAGCCAGGACUACAAAACUACCUCUUAC